RNAcentral lists this ribosomal RNA (253 nucleotides) under uncultured bacterium. Its description in RNAcentral is "partial 16S ribosomal RNA". It matches the Rfam family "Bacterial small subunit ribosomal RNA", at positions 524 to 776 of the family's 1533-position model. The record is from RNAcentral.
UACGUAGGGCGCAAGCGUUGUCCGGAAUUAUUGGGCGUAAAGAGCUCGUAGGCGGUUUGUCGCGUCUGUCGUGAAAGCUUGGGGCUUAACCCCAAGUCUCCGGUGGAUACGGGCAGACUAGAGGCAGGUAGGGGAGAACGGAAUUCCCGGUGUAGCGGUGGAAUGCGCAGAUAUCAGGAGGAACACCGGUGGCGAAGGCGGUUCGCUGGGCAUUACCUGACGCUGAGGAGCGAAAGCAUGGGGAGCGAACAGG